GACGUAGACCCGAAACCGGGCGACCUACCCAUGAGCAGGAUGAAGCGAAAGUAAAAGUUCGUGGAGGUCCGAACCCACGAGCGUUGAAAAGCUCGGGGAUGACUUGUGGGUAGCGGUGAAAUUCCAAUCGAGCCCGGAGAUAGCUGGUUCUCCCCGAAAUAGCUUUAGGGCUAGCCUCAAGGUGAGAGAUACGGAGGUAGAGCACUGAAUGUCCUAGGGGGUAUUGCACCUACCGAAGACUAUCAAACUCCGAAUGCCGUCAUCUUAUACUUGGGAGUCAGACUGUGGGUGAUAAGAUUCAUAG
RNAcentral lists this ribosomal RNA (304 nucleotides) under Clostridioides difficile. RNAcentral describes it as "bacterial LSU rRNA". It matches the Rfam family "Bacterial large subunit ribosomal RNA", at positions 706 to 1010 of the family's 2925-position model. The record is from RNAcentral. Lineage: Bacteria; Bacillati; Bacillota; Clostridia; Peptostreptococcales; Peptostreptococcaceae.